UCAAAUGAUGAUCGAACUUUUUAUAAAGUUGGAAUUACCGUCUGAACUACAUGUAGAUACAAAUUGGCUGUUUUUCUGAUU
Molecule: small nucleolar RNA, 81 nt
Filed under: Mucor circinelloides 1006PhL
Lineage: Eukaryota; Fungi; Mucoromycota; Mucoromycetes; Mucorales; Mucoraceae
Description: Mucor circinelloides f. circinelloides 1006PhL A. fumigatus snoRNA Afu_300
Rfam family: A. fumigatus snoRNA Afu_300
Source: Rfam by way of RNAcentral